AGAGUUUGAUCCUGGCUCAGGAUGAACGCUGGCGGCGCGCCUAACACAUGCAAGUCGAACGGCACCCACCCUCGGGUGGAAGCGAGUGGCGAACGGCUGAGUAACACGUGGAGAACCCGCCCCCUCCUCCGGGAUAGCCUCGGGAAACCGUGGGUAAUACCGGAUGACCCCGCAGGGCCGCAUGGCCCCGCGGGCAAAGCCCAGACGGGAGGGGAUGGCUCCGCGGCCCAUCAGGUAGACGGCGGGGUGACGGCCCACCGUGCCGACGACGGGUAGCCGGGUUGAGAGACCGACCGGCCAGAUUGGGACUGAGACACGGCCCAGACUCCUACGGGAGGCAGCAGUGGGGAAUCUUGCGCAAUGGGGGGAACCCUGGCGCAGCGACGCCGCGUGCGGGACGAAGGCCCUCGGGUCGUAAACCGCUUUCAGCAGGGAUGAGACAAGACGGUACCUGCAGAAGAAGCCCCGGCUAACUACGUGCCAGCAGCCGCGGUAAUACGUAGGGGGCGAGCGUUAUCCGGAUUCAUUGGGCGUAAAGCGCGCGUAGGCGGCCCGGCAGGCAGGGGGUCAAAUGGCGGGGCUCAACCCCGUCCCGCCCCCUGAACCGCCGGGCUCGGGUCCGGUAGGGGAGGGUGGAACACCCGGUGUAGCGGUGGAAUGCGCAGAUAUCGGGUGGAACACCGGUGGCGAAGGCGGCCCUCUGGGCCGAGACCGACGCUGAGGCGCGAAAGCUGGGGGAGCGAACAGGAUUAGAUACCCCUGGUAGUCCCCAGCCGUAAACGAUGGACGCUAGGUGUGGGGGGACGAUCCUUCCGUGCCGCAGCCAACGCAUUAAGCGUCCCGCUUGGGGAGUACGGCCGCAAGGCUAAAAUUCAAAGGAAUUGACGGGGGCCCGCACAAGCAGCGGAGCAUGUGGCUUAAUUGGAAGCAACGCGAGGACCCUUACCAGCGUUUGACAU
This 959-nucleotide ribosomal RNA is filed under the name uncultured bacterium. RNAcentral describes it as "bacterial SSU rRNA". It matches the Rfam family "Bacterial small subunit ribosomal RNA", at positions 8 to 987 of the family's 1533-position model. The record is from RNAcentral.